GAGGAGUGAUGACGCUGAGAAUGGUUUCGCAUAAAAGACUGAAUUCAUGUGAUGACACAAUUCUCUUGGCUAUCUGACCUA
Molecule: small nucleolar RNA, 81 nt
Organism: Gadus morhua (Atlantic cod)
Lineage: Eukaryota; Metazoa; Chordata; Actinopteri; Gadiformes; Gadidae
Product: small nucleolar RNA SNORD53/SNORD92
Source: Ensembl